AGAGCGAACGCUGGCGGCAGGCCUAACACAUGCAAGUCGAGCGCCCGUAGCAAUACGGGAGCGGCAGACGGGAUAGUAACACGUGGGAACGCGCCCUUCGGUUCGGAAUAACUCAGGGAAACUUGAGCUAAUACCGGAUACGCCCUUACGGGGAAAGAUUUAUUGCCGAAGGAACGGCCCGCGUCCGAUUAGCUAGUUGGUGAGGUAAUGGCUCACCAAGGCGACGAUCGGUAGCUGGUCUGAGAGGAUGACCAGCAUCACUGGGACUGAGACACGGCCCAGACUCCUACGGGAGGCAGCAGUGGGGAAUAUUGGACAAUGGGCGCAAGCCUGAUCCAGCCAUGCCGCGUGGAUGAUGAAGGCCUUAGGGUUGUAAAGUCCGUUUUAACGGGGAAGAUAAUGACGGUACCCGUAGAAUAAGCCCCGGCUAACUUCGCGCCAGUAGCCGC
This 449-nucleotide ribosomal RNA is filed under the name uncultured bacterium. RNAcentral describes it as "SSU rRNA". It matches the Rfam family "Bacterial small subunit ribosomal RNA", at positions 26 to 518 of the family's 1533-position model. The record is from RNAcentral.